This 301-nucleotide ribosomal RNA is filed under the name uncultured bacterium. RNAcentral's name for it is "partial 16S ribosomal RNA". It matches the Rfam family "Bacterial small subunit ribosomal RNA", at positions 509 to 809 of the family's 1533-position model. The record is from RNAcentral.
CAGUAGCCGCGGGAAAACGUAUGUCACGAGCGUUAUCCGGAUUUAUUGGGCGUAAAGCGCGUCUAGGUGGUUAUAUAGUCUGAUGUGAAAAUGCAGGGCUCAACUCUGUAUUGCGUUGGAAACUGUAUAACUAGAGUACUGGAGAGGUAAGCGGAACUACAAGUGUAGAGGUGAAAUUCGUAGAUAUUUGUAGGAAUGCCGAUGGGGAAGCCAGCUUACUGGACAGAUACUGACGCUGAAGCGCGAAAGCGUGGGUAGCAAACAGGAUUAGAUACCCCCGUAGUCCCUGUCUCUUAUACAC